GCUCUCAAGUGUCACGCAUUGAGCGUGACAGUCACUCAUUUCGGUCUUUUGUCACGCACUCCCGCCACACAUUGUAUUUCUCACGCAGAAAAACUAUUUAUCAUACAUUUAAUAUGCCGCAGCGCCCAAAAUGUAUCUGGCCGCGCCGCUCUCUCUAUGGAACCGGGCAGGAAUCAAGCGCGUCUCGAACUUGCCACUUAUCAGCCAAUCAAAAAAAAAAGAAAGAGGCUACACAAUAGCCAAUCAGAAAAUAGCACUAUUGUAUCUGGGUAAGAUUUAACGCAACAACCAAUGAAAAAAAAAGCAUAUCCUGGAAUUGUUCACCAUCAUCCUCGUUCACCCACAGAGGAAACCACUGUAGCUCUGAGCAUCACUUUGAGCACAGAGUAAGUCAUGAUCUCCUGUUUUAAUGUUACAACAAAUUCACAACUUGUUUGACACAAACAAUGACAACUUGACUGCUGUUAGAUAAUCAGAUAAUCAGCAUCAGUUUUUCAUCAGUGUCUGUAACUUAGACAACAGUUUUACAGCCUGUUCACUGACACCUGCUCAGAACAAGUAGUCUAGGCCUAGUUAUAUUUUGCUAUCACACGAUGACUGACAUUUUGUUAUAUUAAACAUCUCUCUCUCUCCAAAUAGUUUUAAUAAUUUUAUUAGCACUAAAUAAAUUAAAGUGUAUUGCAUCGUCAAUGUUAUAGGUCACUUUUUAAAUCAUGUCACAUUUUAUAUCCAGGCCAUGGAGGUUUCCCAUACUAGACUGUAGCGGCCCGCCACAUUCUAAUUGGUCCCGCCACAGUCUCAAAAUAUGAAUACGGAUAUGACGCGAUAUUUAAAUUACCGUCUGAUAAUUGCGCUCCUUUAUAUGGCAAAAGUGGGAGUCAUAGAGCAAAAUAAGUAGACUAGCACCAAUUAAGUUUUCGUGCACUAUAUUCAAAGUCAUCUGAAGCCAUUCCAUAGCUUUUUUUUUUCUUCCAAGAAUUAGGCUAGAAUACUUUUUGCUGUUGAAUUAUCAACCCUGUAUCACAUGAAAUACGUUCUGAGGAAACUAUUUUGCAAAUCGCAAUUACGUUACAUGCCAACAUAUAAGCAGUGCUAUUACGUUGGUCCUUAACCUAAUAAAGCCAAUUUAUUGCAGUGCUAUUACGUUUGUCCUGAACAUAAUACAUCCAAAGCAGGUUUCUUUUCACACGUAGCAGCUAAUGCUGUUCAUUUUGUUUUAAUUAUUUACUCCCUUUUUUCUGAUCGGGCUACAAAAUAUUAUUUAUGCCAGGGGGAGUCAAAUGGCGGCACCCAGAUAAUUUUUAUCUGGCCCUCCAACUGGUUUUUGAUGUUUAAAACCGCUCGCAAUCUGAUAUCAAAGUCCCCGCAAAGGUUUUCAUAAGGUUUUCAUAAUAUUCACUCAGUGAAUGUCAACCCGUUCUCACUCCUGACCGUUCUCACGCUGAAGAAGUCUCCUUCAGAACACAUCGCGAUAUUUGGCAUCAGUUCGCGUGUGCUGGAUGUUGCUGAAAAGACAAAAAGGGCCUUUUGGAAAUGGAUGAAGGAGACAGAAAGCUGCAAAGGUAAAUAAUUGCAAUGAAGGAAAUCCUACGGUUAUGUAUGAACUCACAACAUCAUCAUCAAGUGCUGUGCUGGGCACAUUGGGUAACAAGUGUCCUCCAACGUAUCCAAUCUG
Molecule: long non-coding RNA, 1675 nt
Organism: Megalobrama amblycephala (Wuchang bream)
Lineage: Eukaryota; Metazoa; Chordata; Actinopteri; Cypriniformes; Xenocyprididae
Exons: 3
Source: RefSeq, a predicted model, not a curated record